This 72-nucleotide transfer RNA is filed under the name Microcaldota archaeon. RNAcentral describes it as "tRNA-His". It matches the Rfam family "tRNA". From Rfam's summary of the family: Transfer RNA (tRNA) molecules are approximately 80 nucleotides in length. The record is from RNAcentral. Lineage: Archaea; Nanobdellati; Microcaldota. RNAcentral also lists the same sequence under 1 other name.
GCCUUAGUGGUGUAACGGCUCGCACGGAGGACUGUGGAUCCUUUAGACCGGGUUCGACUCCCGGCUAAGGCC